This 467-nucleotide ribosomal RNA is filed under the name uncultured bacterium. RNAcentral's name for it is "bacterial SSU rRNA". It matches the Rfam family "Bacterial small subunit ribosomal RNA", at positions 355 to 825 of the family's 1533-position model. The record is from RNAcentral.
UGGGGAAUAUUGGACAAUGGGCGAAAGCCUGAUCCAGCCAUGCCGCGUGCAGGAUGACGGUCCUAUGGAUUGUAAACUGCUUUUGUACAGGAAGAAACAGUUCUACGUGUAGAACCUUGACGGUACUGUAAGAAUAAGGAUCGGCUAACUCCGUGCCAGCAGCCGCGGUAAUACGGAGGAUCCAAGCGUUAUCCGGAAUCAUUGGGUUUAAAGGGUCCGUAGGCGGUUAGAUAAGUCAGUGGUGAAAGCCCAUCGCUCAACGGUGGAACGGCCAUUGAUACUGUCUGACUUGAAUUAUUAGGAAGUAACUAGAAUAUGUAGUGUAGCGGUGAAAUGCUUAGAGAUUACAUGGAAUACCAAUUGCGAAGGCAGGUUACUACUAAUGGAUUGACGCUGAUGGACGAAAGCGUGGGUAGCGAACAGGAUUAGAUACCCCCGUAGUCCCUGAGCGGGCUGGCAAGGCGCAU